CAAAUAUCCAAAUCAUGAUUUUUUUUUUUUGUAUUUUCUCUUAUUUAGCUUGUGCCUUUUGUUUAUAAAAUUCAAAUGAAAGAAAUUAAUGAAAAUAUGUAUAGUCAAAGACCAAACAGAGUUAUCCCUGCGAUCUACUUUUCGAGAGUGUUGAAAAGCCCUGAUAGGUGAUAAGUCUUAUUCCUUCACAAAUAAAAUCGUGACUUUGUAGCGUUUGAACAUGUGCGAACCCAGUUGCUACACUGCUAAGUG
Molecule: unclassified non-coding RNA, 252 nt
Filed under: Hevea brasiliensis (rubber tree)
Lineage: Eukaryota; Viridiplantae; Streptophyta; Magnoliopsida; Malpighiales; Euphorbiaceae
Source: RNAcentral